AACGAACGCUGGCGGCAUGUCUAACACAUGCAAGUCGAACGAGACCUUCGGGUCUAGUGGCGCACGGGUGCGUAACGCGUGGGAACCUGCCCUUAGGUUCGGAAUAACUCCCCGAAAGGGGUGCUAAUACCGGAUAAUGUCUUCGGACCAAAGAUUUAUCGCCUUUGGAUGGGCCCGCGUUGGAUUAGCUAGUUGGUAAGGUAAAAGCCUACCAAGGCGACGAUCCAUAGCUGGUCUGAGAGGAUGAUCAGCCACACUGGGACUGAGACACGGCCCAGACUCCUACGGGAGGCAGCAGUGGGGAAUAUUGGACAAUGGGCGAAAGCCUGAUCCAGCAAUGCCGCGUGAGUGAUGAAGGCCUUAGGGUUGUAAAGCUCUUUUACCCGGGAUGAUAAUGACAGUACCGGGAGAAUAAGCUCCGGCUAACUCCGUG
RNAcentral lists this ribosomal RNA (433 nucleotides) under uncultured bacterium. RNAcentral describes it as "partial 16S ribosomal RNA". It matches the Rfam family "Bacterial small subunit ribosomal RNA", at positions 29 to 507 of the family's 1533-position model. The record is from RNAcentral.